RNAcentral lists this ribosomal RNA (447 nucleotides) under uncultured bacterium. RNAcentral's name for it is "bacterial SSU rRNA". It matches the Rfam family "Bacterial small subunit ribosomal RNA", at positions 355 to 825 of the family's 1533-position model. The record is from RNAcentral.
UGGGGAAUAUUGGGCAAUGGGGGAAACCCUGACCCAGCAACGCCGCGUGAAGGAUGAAGUAUUUCGGUAUGUAAACUUCGAAAGAAUAGGAAGAAUAAAUGACGGUACUAUUUAUAAGGUCCGGCUAACUACGUGCCAGCAGCCGCGGUAAUACGUAGGGACCAAGCGUUGUUCGGAUUUACUGGGCGUAAAGGGCGCGUAGGCGGCAAUUCAAGUCAUCUGUGAAAUCUCCGGGCUUAACUCGGAACGGUCAGAUGAUACUGCUUUGCUAGAGUGCAGAAGGGGCAAUCGGAAUUCUUGGUGUAGCGGUGAAAUGCGUAGAUAUCAAGAGGAACACCUGAGGUGAAGACGGGUUGCUGGGCUGACACUGACGCUGAGGCGCGAAAGCCAGGGGAGCAAACGGGAUUAGAUACCCAGGUAGUCCCUGAGCGGGCUGGCAAGGCGCAU